UACGUAGGUGGCGAGCGUUGUCCGGAUUUACUGGGUGUAAAGCGCGUGUAGGCGGGUGGCCAAGUCUGUGGUGAAAUCGCUCGGCUUAACUGGGCGGGGUCCAUGGAAACUGGUCACCUGGAGGUCGGUAGAGGCAAGUGGAAUUCCCGGUGUAGUGGUGAAAUGCGUAGAGAUCGGGAGGAACACCAGUGGCGAAGGCGGCUUGCUGGGCCGGACCUGACGCUGAGGUGCGAAAGCGUGGGGAGCAAACAGG
Molecule: ribosomal RNA, 253 nt
Filed under: uncultured bacterium
Lineage: Bacteria
Description: partial 16S ribosomal RNA
Rfam family: Bacterial small subunit ribosomal RNA
Source: RNAcentral